Molecule: ribosomal RNA, 274 nt
Filed under: uncultured bacterium
Lineage: Bacteria
Description: partial 16S ribosomal RNA
Rfam family: Bacterial small subunit ribosomal RNA
Source: RNAcentral
AUACGGAGGGGGCAAGCGUUGUUCGGAUUUACUGGGCGUAAAGGGCGCGUAGGCGGAGCAUCAAGUCAGGGGUGAAAGGCCCGGGCUCAACCCGGGAACUGCCUUUGAAACUGAUGAUCUCGAGUCCGGGAGAGGAUGGCGGAAUUCCCAGUGUAGAGGUGAAAUUCGUAGAUAUUGGGAAGAACACCAGUGGCGAAGGCGGCUAUCUGGCUCGGUACUGACGCUGAGGCGCGAAAGCGUGGGGAGCAAACAGGAUUAGAAACCCCAGUAGUCC